CACGUAGGGUGCGAGCGUUGUCCGGAAUUAUUGGGCGUAAAGAGCUCGUAGGCGGUGUGUCGCGUCGGCCGUGAAAACCUGCAGCUUAACUGUGGGCUUGCGUCGAUACGGGCAUCACUGGAGUUCGGCAGGGGAGACUGGAAUUCCUGGUGUAGCGGUGAAAUGCGCAGAUAUCAGGAGGAACACCGGUGGCGAAGGCGGGUCUCUGGGCCGAUACUGACGCUGAGGAGCGAAAGCGUGGGGAGCGAACAGG
Molecule: ribosomal RNA, 253 nt
Filed under: uncultured bacterium
Lineage: Bacteria
Description: partial 16S ribosomal RNA
Rfam family: Bacterial small subunit ribosomal RNA
Source: RNAcentral